This 412-nucleotide ribosomal RNA is filed under the name Furfurilactobacillus rossiae. Its description in RNAcentral is "Lactobacillus rossiae partial 16S ribosomal RNA". It matches the Rfam family "Bacterial small subunit ribosomal RNA", at positions 76 to 464 of the family's 1533-position model. The record is from RNAcentral. Lineage: Bacteria; Bacillati; Bacillota; Bacilli; Lactobacillales; Lactobacillaceae.
GUGSUUGCACCARAUUGACGAGACMUUGAARUGAGUGGCGAACGGGUGAGUAACACGUGGGUAACCUGSCCUAAAGUGGGGGAUAACAUUUGGAAACAGAUGCUAAUACCGCAUAACAACSAAAACCACAUGGUUUUCGCUUGAAAGAUGGUUUCSGCUAUCACUUUAGGAUGGACCCGCGGUGCAUUARCUAGUUGGUAAGGUAACGGCUUACCAAGGCAAUGAUGCAUAGCCGARCUGAGAGGCUGAUCGGCCACAUUGGGACUGARACACGGCCCAGACUCCUACGGGAGGCAGCAGUAGGGAAUCUUCCACAAUGGGCGCAAGCCUGAUGGARCAACGCCGCGUGAGUGAAGAAGGGUUUCGGCUCSUAAAACUCUGUUGUUAAAGAAGAACGUAUCUGAGAGUAACU